CAGUGAAUGAAGGUAAACAAAUAACGAUCGAUUACUUCUGACAUAGAUGCGACUAAUUGAACUCAGGCCGAACAUGGCAAGUAGCACCUCGUUGAAGUUAACAGCAACAAAAAAUAAAAGAAACAUUCAAAUUGUUUGUCAGUAUAACCCCAGCAAAUAAUGUAUGCUUGUUAUUGAUGAUCGUAAUGCAUUGAUUGGCGCGGACAAUUCAGAUAAGAAAGACAAAAUGGUAAAAAAAGGGGGAACAACUGUUGAAAUGAUCUUCAUCUUCUAUUUUAAAAUGAAAAAUUAAUCUUCAACUGAGAAAGUUUUUCAACAUCAACACGACAGGAAGACAUAUAACAUCCAUCAUCUUGGAUUAGACAAACAAUUGAUAUCCACUCACGAUAGAUACCAAACAUUUCAAACUAGUCAUACAAGCAACGACACCAGUUUUUAAUGAACAUUGGAAUAAAGUGAUAACAAUAACGAAACAGCAUUUGAAGUACUGGGAAUAAGAGACAAAAUGAGAACGAAACGGAUAUCAGAUACAAACCAGUUAAAUUGAAUGAAAAUUUACAGAAAGAAUAUACAAAGCUAAAUAAAGAUAUGAAAAAAUGCGAGAAGGAAAAAACUGCAGUAUAUUAAGAACUUGCCAUGGAAACAGAAUAUGUAUGCCAACUACGUAUACAAGUCUUUAUACUAUUUAUAAGGUCGUC
RNAcentral lists this long non-coding RNA (698 nucleotides) under Mytilus galloprovincialis (Mediterranean mussel). The record is from RNAcentral. Lineage: Eukaryota; Metazoa; Mollusca; Bivalvia; Mytilida; Mytilidae.